RNAcentral lists this ribosomal RNA (1343 nucleotides) under uncultured bacterium. Its description in RNAcentral is "16S ribosomal RNA". It matches the Rfam family "Bacterial small subunit ribosomal RNA", at positions 28 to 1378 of the family's 1533-position model. The record is from RNAcentral.
GACGAACGCUGGCGGCGUGCUUAACACAUGCAAGUCGAACGGAGAGGCCCUGCUUUUGUGGGGUGCUCGAGUGGCGAACGGGUGAGUAACACGUGAGUAACCUGCCCUUGACUUUGGGAUAACUUCAGGAAACUGGGGCUAAUACCGGAUAGGAGCUCCUGCUGCAUGGUGGGGGUUGGAAAGUUUCGGCGGUUGGGGAUGGACUCGCGGCUUAUCAGCUUGUUGGUGGGGUAGUGGCUUACCAAGGCUUUGACGGGUAGCCGGCCUGAGAGGGUGACCGGCCACAUUGGGACUGAGAUACGGCCCAGACUCCUACGGGAGGCAGCAGUGGGGAAUAUUGCACAAUGGGCGGAAGCCUGAUGCAGCAACGCCGCAUGCGGGAUGACGGCCUUCGGGUUGUAAACCGCUUUCGCCUGUGACGAAGCGUGAGUGACGGUAAUGGGUAAAGAAGCACCGGCUAACUACGUGCCAGCAGCCGCGGUGAUACGUAGGGUGCGAGCGUUGUCCGGAUUUAUUGGGCGUAAAGGGCUCGUAGGUGGUUGAUCGCGUCGGAAGUGUAAUCUUGGGGCUUAACCCUGAGCGUGCUUUCGAUACGGGUUGACUUGAGGAAGGUAGGGGAGAAUGGAAUUCCUGGUGGAGCGGUGGAAUGCGCAGAUAUCAGGAGGAACACCAGUGGCGAAGGCGGUUCUCUGGGCCUUUCCUGACGCUGAGGAGCGAAAGCGUGGGGAGCGAACAGGCUUAGAUACCCUGGUAGUCCACGCUGUAAACGGUGGGUACUAGGUGUGGGGUCCAUUCCACGGGUUCCGUGCCGUAGCUAACGCUUUAAGUACCCCGCCUGGGGAGUACGGCCGCAAGGCUAAAACUCAAAGGAAUUGACGGGGCCCCGCACAAGCGGCGGAGCAUGCGGAUUAAUUCGAUGCAACGCGUAGAACCUUACCUGGGUUUGACAUGGAUCGGGAGCGCUCAGAGAUGGGUGUGCCUCUUUUGGGGUCGGUUCACAGGUGGUGCAUGGCUGUCGUCAGCUCGUGUCGUGAGAUGUUGGGUUAAGUCCCGCAACGAGCGCAACCCUUGUUCACUGUUGCCAGCACGUUAUGGUGGGGACUCAGUGGAGACCGCCGGGGUCAGCUCGGAGGAAGGUGGGGAUGACGUCAAGUCAUCAUGCCCCUUAUGUCCAGGGCUUCACGCAUGCUACAAUGGCUGGUACAGAGAGUGGCGAGCCUGUGAGGGUGAGCGAAUCUCGGAAAGCCGGUCUCAGUUCGGAUUGGGGUCUGCAACUCGACCUCAUGAAGUCGGAGUCGCUAGUAAUCGCAGAUCAGCAACGCUGCGGUGAAUACGUUCCCGGG